Molecule: unclassified non-coding RNA, 253 nt
Filed under: uncultured Planctomycetia bacterium
Lineage: Bacteria; Pseudomonadati; Planctomycetota; Planctomycetia
Description: contains 16S-23S intergenic spacer region
Rfam family: Bacterial small subunit ribosomal RNA
Source: RNAcentral
GACGAACCGUGCGAACGUUGUUCGGAAUCACUGGGCUUAAAGGGCGCGUAGGCGGGUGGGUCAGUCGGAGGUGAAAUCCUGCAGCUCAACUGUAGAACUGCCUUCGAAACUGCCCACCUCGAGGGGGGUAGGGGCACGUGGAACUUCCGGUGGAGCGGUGAAAUGCGUAGAGAUCGGAAGGAACGCCGGUGGCGAAAGCGGCGUGCUGGACCCCUUCUGACGCUGAGGCGCGAAAGCUAGGGUAGCGAACGGG